This 253-nucleotide ribosomal RNA is filed under the name uncultured bacterium. Its description in RNAcentral is "partial 16S ribosomal RNA". It matches the Rfam family "Bacterial small subunit ribosomal RNA", at positions 524 to 776 of the family's 1533-position model. The record is from RNAcentral.
UACGUAGGGUCCGAGCGUUGUCCGGAAUUAUUGGGCGUAAAGAGCUCGUAGGCGGUCUGUUGCGUCGGCUGUGAAAACCCGGGGCUCAACUCCGGGCCUGCAGUCGAUACGGGCAGACUAGAGUUCGGUAGGGGAGACUGGAAUUCCUGGUGUAGCGGUGAAAUGCGCAGAUAUCAGGAGGAACACCGGUGGCGAAGGCGGGUCUCUGGGCCGAUACUGACGCUGAGGUGCGAAAGCGUGGGGAGCGAUCCGG